UGACUGAAUUAAAAGAACAAUAAAAUAAAUAGAACAAGAGAUUAGAACCUUGAAAAACAGGAAAGUAAAAUAUUUUCUAUCUGCUCUUAAAUUCUAAUAAUGAAGCGUUCCAAAUAAACUAACUAAAGCCAUCUAUUUAUAGGCUGAGAAAAUAUUUUUCUGUUAAUCCCUUGAUGUGUUUGCGUGCUAUUCUGAAGGAGGAGAUAAGCUUUGAUCGUGCCGCCCGUUACGAUAGGAGUGCGAUCUCCACAUGUUAAUCAUUUGCUAAUAAAUAGCACUUGGCGGCCAACAUGAUCUUUAUGGUACACGUCAUAUAUUGUUUGAUAAGUGCCUAAUCUAAUAAAACACGUGUGGUCACCAUGAUCUUUAUCCAUGCCAUAUAUUGGUGAAUUGGGCUGCUACAUUGUGACUUUUGUGGCCCAAUUGGGACUUGUUUGUUUUGGCCUUCACCUCNNNNNNNNNNNNNNNNNNCGAUCUAAUUCUUUAUUAGCAUUUAUUUUGCAACUUAUAAAUUAUUUGGUAGCUUCCGGACAUUCCUGAAAUACAUAAAAAUAAUAGUAAUAAUACUACGAAAAAUGCAGAGAAAUAGUAAAUUACUAAGCUAAUUUUAUUAAAUAAAUAGUGCAUUUUUCGGUGUUAUCAA
Molecule: long non-coding RNA, 643 nt
Filed under: Trifolium pratense (red clover)
Lineage: Eukaryota; Viridiplantae; Streptophyta; Magnoliopsida; Fabales; Fabaceae
Description: long non-coding RNA (TPRA_LNC005526)
Source: RNAcentral